AAGAAAUAAGCCCGAUAGGGCGAAAAACUGAGUGGGUAGGAAUUCAACAUAUUGUACAAAAAUAUUUUGGAAUUUCCUUAGCGUUUUAAAAGGCAUGGAAUGGAAGCUCGAAUAUGGGAAUGAUGAAUGUCGAUUAGAGAUCUGCAAGACAGAGCUGCCAAAACAUCAAUGGCACUAACAAAAAUAUCAAUUAAUUCCAAAGAUUACUCUUAAGAUCAAUGGGCUUGACCAUCUAAACUGUCUUUACCGAUCUCCGAUCAACGGCUCUCUGAGCACAUGAGCAGCGUUAAACGAAAGCCAAGCCUUGGGAUGAUUCAGAAAAUGAGCUUUCGAUGAAGUGAUUCGAAUAUGCAUUCAUAUUUUAAUUACAUAGAGUACAUAUAUACACGCACAAUUUUAAAGGAAUAUUGUAUUGCAACGCUCAUGGAGCGCACCCCAAAAAUAAAAAUGUAAAUAUCAUAUAGGGUCAAAGGAUCAUUAGUCAACUCU
Non-coding RNA from Drosophila virilis, 489 nucleotides. The record is from RefSeq and is a predicted model, not a curated record. Lineage: Eukaryota; Metazoa; Arthropoda; Insecta; Diptera; Drosophilidae.